Molecule: transfer RNA, 63 nt
Filed under: Oecanthus rufescens
Lineage: Eukaryota; Metazoa; Arthropoda; Insecta; Orthoptera; Gryllidae
Also listed under: 1 other name
Description: tRNA-Cys
Source: RNAcentral
GGCUUUAUAUUCAAAGUAAUAUGAUAUUAGACUGCAAUUCUAAAGGUGUUUAUACUAAGGCCU